Long non-coding RNA from Oncorhynchus tshawytscha (Chinook salmon), 414 nucleotides. Lineage: Eukaryota; Metazoa; Chordata; Actinopteri; Salmoniformes; Salmonidae. The record is from Ensembl.
AACCUAGGCUACAGGUGAUAGAAGGCCUUUUCCAACCAAAGAACAAACAGAUUUAAGCGAAAAAAAUAUAGCCCUACUCAAGAUGGAGUUAGUGUCAGGUUACCGUGACCGGAUGAUUGAGUUCUCGGAGGCUAUGGCACAGUGGUAUCGCUGCUUCCAGACCACCCGUAGGGGGCGCAAAGAACCACAUAGUGAUUUCUGGGGGUACGAUUUUCCCCGAUACCACAUGGACCGCUCACCGUACUGGAUACUGCACCUGCUGGAUUGCGCUGCAAAGCCACCUGCAGCUAUUCCACGGCUAGAACAGGCUGGAGUGGACCCCUCCGAGCUCAUAAGUAGUGAAGGAGAGAGUGUUCUGAUGGUGACGGAUGCCUCUGGCCUGCCCCUGGGCUUUGACGUGCUGGCCGGUGGCUG